GACUCUGGUGGUGGAGAAGUUCAGUCCUGAACUGAAAACCUGCCACAUAACAAAGCCCAGAUCAAGAAGAG
Molecule: long non-coding RNA, 71 nt
Filed under: Sus scrofa (pig)
Lineage: Eukaryota; Metazoa; Chordata; Mammalia; Artiodactyla; Suidae
Description: lncRNA (ENSSSCG00060044642.1)
Source: RNAcentral